AGUGAACGCUGGCGGUAGGCCUAACACAUGCAAGUCGAACGGCAGCACAGUAAGAGCUUGCUCUUACGGGUGGCGAGUGGCGGACGGGUGAGGAAUACAUCGGAAUCUACUUUUUCGUGGGGGAGAACGUAGGGAAACUUACGCUAAUACCGCAUACGACCUACGGGUGAAAGAAGGGGAUCUUCGGACCUUGCGCGAUUGAAUGAGCCGAUGUCGGAUUAGCUAGUUGGCGGGGUAAAGGCCCACCAAGGCGACGAUCCGUAGCUGGUCUGAGAGGAUGAUCAGCCACACUGGAACUGAGACACGGUCCAGACUCCUACGGGAGGCAGCAGUGGGGAAUAUUGGACAAUGGGCGCAAGCCUGAUCCAGCCAUACCGCGUGGGUGAAGAAGGCCUUCGGGUUGUAAAGCCCUUUUGUUGGGAAAGAAAAGCAGCAGGUUAAUACCCCGCUGUUCUGACGUUACCCAAAGAAUAAGCACCGGCUAACUUCGUG
This 492-nucleotide ribosomal RNA is filed under the name uncultured bacterium. RNAcentral describes it as "partial 16S ribosomal RNA". It matches the Rfam family "Bacterial small subunit ribosomal RNA", at positions 29 to 507 of the family's 1533-position model. The record is from RNAcentral.